GGAACAGACUGAAUAUAUGUCUCGGUCCGGCAGAGGCGAAAGGUGUGCCAGUCCGUCAAAGGUCGGUUGAAGAUGACAGACGCUUAAAGUAAUUACCCUCCAAAAAGGGCUGGCCAAAUUACCAUUAUGAGGUGGGACAAUAUCCUCAUGCUUUUUGCUGCAGGCGAAGACCUGGCGGGCCGCACAGAUCUAUUGCCAAGCGAACUACGUCAGCCUGGCGUCCAUCAACAACAUGGCGGAGCAGGCCGAGCUCGAACAACUUCUGAAAAUCCACGAAGCGGACGAGAAAAGUCUGGACUGGCUUGAACAAGGGUGUGUGGUUGUGGUCAUUACAGGAUGCUAAUUUGUACAGCUCGGGAGAAGUUGGGUUUAGACACUGGGCUACAGGUCAACCAGACCAAGAGGGCCAAGACUGUGUUCUGCUGUCACUGACUCAAGGCGGCUGGGUAGACCACCACUGCACUGACCAAAAGAGCUUUGUC
Long non-coding RNA from Alosa sapidissima (American shad), 482 nucleotides. RefSeq lists it as uncharacterized. NCBI's taxonomy places the organism in Eukaryota, Metazoa, Chordata, Actinopteri, Clupeiformes, Clupeidae. The record is from RefSeq and is a predicted model, not a curated record. The transcript is spliced from 3 exons.